RNAcentral lists this ribosomal RNA (253 nucleotides) under uncultured bacterium. RNAcentral's name for it is "partial 16S ribosomal RNA". It matches the Rfam family "Bacterial small subunit ribosomal RNA", at positions 524 to 776 of the family's 1533-position model. The record is from RNAcentral.
UACGUAGGGCGCGAGCGUUGUCCGGAAUUAUUGGGCGUAAAGAGCUCGUAGGCGGUCUGUUGCGUCUGCUGUGAAAACCCGGGGCUUAACCCCUGGCUUGCAGUGGAUACGGACAGACUAGAGGUAGGUAGGGGAGAAUGGAAUUCCCGGUGUAGCGGUGAAAUGCGCAGAUAUCGGGAGGAACACCGGUGGCGAAGGCGGUUCUCUGGGCCUUACCUGACGCUGAGGAGCGAAAGCGUGGGGAGCGAACAGG